GUGGGGAAUAUUGGGCAAUGGGGGCAACCCUGACCCAGCGACGCCGCGUGGGUGAAGAAAUCCCUCGGGAUGUAAAGCCCUGUUGUAUGGGAAGAGCAGAAGACGGUACCAUACGAGGAAGCCCCGGCAAACUACGUGCCAGCAGCCGCGGUAAUACGUAGGGGGCAAGCGUUGUCCGGACUUACUGGGCGUAACGCGCACGCAGGAUGAAUUAUAAGUCGGUAGUCAAAUACGGAGGCUCAACUUCCGGAUAUCUAUCGAUACUGUAAAUCUAGAGUAUGUGAGAGGGAAGCGGCAUUCGCGGUGUAGCGGUGACAUGCGUAGAUAUCGGGAGGGACACCAGUGGCGAAGGCGGCUUCCUGGCACAAUACUGACGCUCAUGUGCGAAAGCUAGGGCAGCGAACGGGAUUAGAAACCCGAGUAGUCC
This 427-nucleotide ribosomal RNA is filed under the name uncultured bacterium. Its description in RNAcentral is "partial 16S ribosomal RNA". It matches the Rfam family "Bacterial small subunit ribosomal RNA", at positions 354 to 796 of the family's 1533-position model. The record is from RNAcentral.